Molecule: ribosomal RNA, 403 nt
Filed under: bacterium
Lineage: Bacteria
Also listed under: 1 other name
Description: partial 16S ribosomal RNA
Rfam family: Bacterial small subunit ribosomal RNA
Source: RNAcentral
UGGGGAAUAUUGCACAAUGGAGGGAACUCUGAUGCAGCGACGCCGCGUGAACGAAGAAGGCUUUCGAGUCGUAAAGUUCUUUUAUAUGGGAAGAUAAUGACGGUACCAUAAGAAAAAGCCCCGGCUAACUACGUGCCAGCAGCCGCGGUAAUACGUAGGGGGCUAGCGUUGUCCGGAAUCACUGGGCGUAAAGGGUUCGCAGGCGGAAAUGCAAGUCAGGUGUAAAAGGCAGUAGCUUAACUACUGUAAGCAUUUGAAACUGCAUAUCUUGAGAAGAGUAGAGGUAAGUUGAAUUUUUAGUGUAGCGGUGAAAUGCGUAGAUAUUAAAAAGAAUACCGGUGGCGAAGGCGACUUACUGGGCUCAUUCUGACGCUGAGGAACGAAAGCGUGGGUAGCAAACAGG